Long non-coding RNA from Zalophus californianus (California sea lion), 1949 nucleotides. RefSeq lists it as uncharacterized. The transcript is spliced from 3 exons. NCBI's taxonomy places the organism in Eukaryota, Metazoa, Chordata, Mammalia, Carnivora, Otariidae. The record is from RefSeq and is a predicted model, not a curated record.
UUCUGACACUAGGUCAUAAUAGGCAGUGCUACCUCUGCCUUGUUCUUUUGGAUCACUUGGUCUGCGGGGAGCCAGGCACCUCGUCAUGACGUUACUUGAGCAGUCCUGCGGAGAGGCCCAAGGAGAGGAGAACCAACUUGCUGGCACCACCUUGUCAACCAUUUGUUCGGUAAAACAGACCAUGGCAGUUCAAAACCGGAUGGGAUGCUUCUAGAACAAGAUUAUCCAGGGCUAUCUUCUUUAGAGUUUCCAGAGAGAGCAGGAGAGCACAGCAGCAGAGGAAAGAGGGAGAAGCAGACGUCCCGCUGAGCAGGGAGCCCGAUGUGGGACUCGAUCCCAGGACCCUGGUAUCAUGACCUGAGCCCAAGUGCCCCCGCAGAUGCUCUUGCUCCAAAGCUGUGUCUUGGUAAGUGGAAUCACACUUGCAAACACCUCCAAAUAACAGUCUCCAGGAGUAUAGGUUUUUAGAUGAAAAACUGAUGUCUGCGUAUGAAGAUGCUAUUGCUUCUCAGACAGUUGCCCACGUGUAGCUGAAAACAAACACAAACAAAACCCUUGCCUGUGACUUGUAGUCCUCCUCUGUUGGUUUGUGACUCUAGCCACAGCUUCCCGAGGGUUGACAGUUUAAGCUCCUCUGCUUUGCUUCAGAGAAUGCCGAAUAGCUCUGCUUAGAGGCAGCCACCCUGCCUCUCACAGCUCCGUCAGGAGUGUCGGUGGGCUGCCCGGCUGUGCGGCCAACUGCAGCAGGUCCUUGGUGGUGCCUCCAGCCUGGGAGUUGCAAUCCUUGAAUCCUUCCAGUAUGCCCUCUGUUCUGUCUCCCUCCUGGAGCUCUUAUCACCGGGAGCCCAGCUUCCCCAUUCCAUUUCGAAGAUCUCCUUCCUUCAAAAUGAGCUCUUGGGCGUCAGAAUAUAUGACAAGCCUUCUCCUGGACCAUAGGGAGGAAAUCGAUGGCCUCCUCUCUUCUUGUCUCUUCUCCAGCCCAUUGCCAGGGAUGUUCUAAGCAUGCUGGGUCACAUCCCACUAUUGUGAGCUUUGAGCUAGGCACAGAGUAAGUCCUUUCAAUGCAAGCUGGGCAAUCUUCCCUAUUUAUUUGACUUUUCAGGAAUGCGAUUAGAUUGACAGUCUCUUAAGAGGUGCUCAUGGGAAAUGUCUUUCUAACAAAGUUUGGGUUGCAAUGCUUCCUUUUCCUUUUUUGGUUCCGUUCUCCUUCUUUCCUCCUUGCUCCCUUCCUCUUUUCCCUUUUUAUCCACUCCUUCUCUUUCUCUUUCUCUUUUUCUCUUUCUUCUUCAAAUAUACAAUACUGACUUCUCUCUUCCAUCCAGCCCCUUUGGCUCUUUGUCACGGUUCUUCCUGAUCACCAACAUUUUCUGUUCCAGGAGAUCUAUCAAAGUCUCUGCAGGGCAGAGGUCCUCUCAAGACUCUUGGUACUGCAUCUAUGGGAAGCCCAUCCUUGGUGCAGGUGAUAUCCUUGAACUGUCAGUAAUGAAUACAAAACAGAGACGCUGUCUUUCAAAUUCAGGAAACCUCUGAGCACUCUAUGAUUGAAAUGAAGAAUGACAACUGCUGAAUAGCCAGGCUUCCAUCCAAAGCCUUCCAGGAUACGGCCCCCAUCUACCUUUUUAAACCUGUUGCCCUCUGCCUAAUCAAUGGAGCCUCUACUCCACCCUCGCUCAUUUGUAAAUGCAACUUACUCAUCUCAGACUCACUGCCUUUUUUCAGUACUUGGUUCUGUUUCCUUCUGCCCAGAAUUAUUUUCCUCUUCUUCCCAGCCAAGCCGAAUGUUCUCACCCAUCAAUCACCAGACCCACAACUCACUCCUUCCACAAAGCCUUCUUUGACUGUUCUGGCCCAUGAGGUGCCUUCCUUUUGGACUGUUGUAGUAUUUAUGAUUCAAGCCCUCUUUCCAGGCUGUUGUCUGCAGCAGAAAUGUUCCCAAGAAGAGUCUCCCA